Molecule: long non-coding RNA, 3596 nt
Filed under: Coturnix japonica (Japanese quail)
Lineage: Eukaryota; Metazoa; Chordata; Aves; Galliformes; Phasianidae
Description: lncRNA (ENSCJPG00005001948.1)
Source: RNAcentral
GGUAAUCUCCAUCCUAGGGUAAUGGGGGGGUUCAUGGGGGUCUAUUCUAUAUGGGGUGGUUAUGGGGGGUUCAUGGGGGGUCCCAUCCCAUAAUGGGGGGGGUCAGGGGGUCCCAUCCUAUAUGGGAGGUUAUGGGGGGGGCUCAUGGGGGUCCCAUCCCAUAAUGGGGGGGGAUCAAGGGGUCCCAUCCUAUAUGGGGGGGUCCCAUCCUAUAAGGGGAGGGGGAGGUUCAGAGGGUCCCAUCCUAUAUGGGGUGGUUAUGGGGGGUCUCAUCCCAUAAUGGGGGGGUUCAUGGGGGUCCCAUCCAAUAUGGGAGAGUUAUGGGGGGCUCAUGGGGGUCCCAUCCCAUAAUAUGGGGGGGGGUCAGAAGGGUCCCACACCAUCAUCCUUCAUCCAUUCAUUCUCUUUAUUAUGGGGGGCAGAUCGUUGGGGGGCCCCCAGUGCCCCCCGGAUCUAUGGGGCGAGCUUCAUUGGGGGGGGGGGCUUUGUGUCCCCCCUCAUUUGGGUAUUAAUUAAUGAGGGUCAUUAAUGAGGGUCAUUAGGGUAAUUAAAGGGGGAGGGGGGGGGUCUCAGCGCUGCCCCCCCCCAAUUGUGAACUGUGGGUCACAGCUCAAUGGUGUCACUGGGGGGGCACCAACCCCCCCCCCGCAAUGGGGCAGCAAUGGGGGCGGGGGGAGAUGCAGCUCCUCGUGCAAUGAUUGUGCAAGAGCCUGGUGCAAAGCUUGCACGGGGCCCCAGUGCACUGCAUGCAUCCAGCUCUGCUGCAGUGCUUGUGCAAGAGCCUGGUGUAAAGCUUGCACUGGGCCCUCCAGCACCAUUUCCAUCCAGCUCUGCUGCAAUGCUUGUGCAAAACCCUGGUGCAAGGUUUGCACGAGGCCCUCCAGCACCAUUUGCAACCAGCUCUGCUGCAACACUUGUGCAAGAGCCCGGUGCAAAGCUUGCACGAGGCCUUGAUGCACUGUUUCCAUCCAGCUCUGGUGCAACACUUGUGCAAGAGCCUGGUGCAAAGCUUGCACGGGGCCAUCCAGCACCAUUUCCACCCAGCUCUGCUGCAUCACUUGUGCAAGACCCUUGUGCAAGGUUUGCACGGGGCCCUCCUGCACCAUUUGCAUCCAGCUCUGGUGCAACACUUGUGCAAGAGCCUCGUGCAAAGCUUCCUCCUGCAUCCAGCUCUGGUGCAACACUUGUGCAAAUCCCUGGUGCAAGGCUGCUGCUAGAACCCUUUGCAACCAUUGCACGCCCACGUGAUGCACUGCUCACACCCGGCCCUCGUGCAAAAUUUGCACGACUGGCCUGUGCCUCCCACGAUGCAUCCCGUGGUGCAACUGUUGCACCAACAGCCCUUGCACCAACCUGUGAUGGUGCAACGGUUGCACCAGCCCGUGGUGCACAAUUUGCACCAGAGCCACGUGCAUGCUUUGCACCGACCUCCAUUGCAUCCCUUGCACCAACAGCCCCUGCACCAUCCCUUGCACCAGAGCCACGUGCGUCGUUUGCACUGAGCACAGAUGCACCAUUGGCUGCACCGGGCCCACGUGCGUAUCUUGCACCGAUCCCACGUGCAUCCCUUGCACCAACAGCCCCUGCAUCCCUUGCACCAAUCUCACGUGCAUCAUUUGCACCAAUCUCACGUGCACCAUCCCUUGCACCAACCCCAUGCGCACCCUUUGCACCAGCCCCACGUGCAUCAUUUGCACUGAUCCCUGGUGCAUCCCUUGCACCGACCCCCACUGCAUCUCUUGCACCAAUCCCGUGUGCAUCACUUGCACCAACCCCAGCUGCAACCUCUGCACCAGACCCACGUGCAUUGUUUGCACCAACACCCCCUGCAUCCCUUGCACCAACCUCAUUUGCACCAUCCCUUGCACCAAUCUCACGUGCAUCAUUUGCACGGAUCCCUGGUGCAUCCCUUGCACCGACUCCCACUGCAUCUCUUGCACCAAUCCCGUGUGCAUCCCUUGCACCAACCCCAGUUGCACCAACCCCAUUUGCAUCCCUUGCAGCACCCCCACAUGCAUCCCUUGCACCAAUCCCUUCUGCAUCUCUUGCACCAGACCCACAUGCAUCCCUUGCACCAACCCCACGUGCAUCCCUUGCACCAAUCCCGGCUGCACCAUCCCUUGCACCAGACCCACAUGCAUCCCUUGCAGCACCCCCAUUUGCAUCCCUUGCACUGCCCUCCAGUGCAUCCUUUGCACCAAGCGCAUCCUUUGCACCAGUCCCAGCUGCACCAUCCUUUGCACCAGACCCACAUGCAUCACCCCCACUGCCCUCCAAUGCAUCCCUUGCACCAGGCCCAGUACCUCCAUCCCUUGCAUCACCUCCCAUUGCAUCCCUUGCAGCAGUCCCAGCUGCAUCCCUUGCACCAGGCCCAGUACCUCCAUCCCUUGCACCACCCCAAUCUGCAUCACCCCCACUACCCUGCAAUGCAUCCCUUGCACCAACUCCAGCUGCACCCCUUGCACCAGACCCACAUGCAUCAUUUGCACCAGGCCCAGCUGCACCAUCCCUUGCACCAGGCCCAUGUGCAUCACUUGCACCACCCCUCAAUGCAUCCCUUGCACCAGCCCCACAUGCAUCACCUCCACUGCCCUCCAAUGCAUCCCUUGCACCAAUCCCAGCUGCAUCCCUUGCACCAGACCCACAUGCAUCCCUUGCAGCACCCCCAUUUGCAUCCCUUGCACUGCCCCCCACUGCAUCCUUUGCACCAAGUGCAUCCAUUGCACCAACCCCAGCUGCCCCAUCCUUUGCACCAGACCCACAUGCAUCCCUUGCACCACCCCCCAAUGCAUCCCUUGCACCAGUCCCAGUACCUCCAUCCCUUGCACCAAUCCCACUUGCACCAGCCCCACAUGCAUCACCUCCACUGCCCCUCAAUGCAUCCCUUGCACCAAUCCCAGCUGCAUCCCUUGCACCACCCCCAUCUGCAUCCCUUGCACCAGCCCCACAUGCAUCACUUCCACUGCCCCUCAGUGCAUCCUUUGCACCAAGUGCAUCCCUUGCACCAGGCCCAGUACCUCCAUCCCUUGCACCACCUCCCAUUGCAUCCCUUGCACCACUCCCAGCUGCAUCCCUUGCACCAGCCCCACGUGCAUCACUUCCACUGCCCCUCAAUGCAUCCCUUGCACCAACUCCAGCUGCACCCCUUGCACCAGACCCACAUGCAUCAUUUGCACCAGGCCCAGCUGCCCCAUCCCUUGCACCAGACCCAUGUGCAUCACUUCCACUGCCCCCCAAUGCAUCCCUUGCACCAAGUGCAUCCCUUGCACCAACCCCAGUUGCAUCCCUUGCAACAGCCCCACAUGCAUCACCCCCACUGCCCUCCAAUGCAUCCCUUGCACCAGCCCCAUCUGCAUCCCUUGCAGCAGACCCUCGUGCACCCAUUGCCCGCAAUGGCAGCCACCCCCCUCACCCCUCAGCCCCCAUUUCCCCCACUACCCGCCCCCCCCCUCAGCGCCUCCUCGAUGCUCCUGCUCAGAUCCACGGGUGAUGGGGGCAGUAUCCAGUCCGUGGGGGUCUCCCCGAUCCCCCCCCCUUCCUCCCCUCCAAUCCUCACCCCCCCAUGCCCUCCCCCUUCCCCCCCAUUUCCACCCCGC